This 253-nucleotide ribosomal RNA is filed under the name uncultured bacterium. RNAcentral describes it as "partial 16S ribosomal RNA". It matches the Rfam family "Bacterial small subunit ribosomal RNA", at positions 524 to 776 of the family's 1533-position model. The record is from RNAcentral.
UACGUAGGGUGCAAGCGUUGUCCGGAAUUAUUGGGCGUAAAGGGCUCGUAGGCGGUUUGUCGCGUCGGGAGUGAAAUCCACUGGCUUAACUGGUGGCUUGCUUUCGAUACGGGCAGACUGGAGGUAUGCAGGGGAGAACGGAAUUCCUGGUGUAGCGGUGAAAUGCGCAGAUAUCAGGAGGAACACCGGUGGCGAAGGCGGCUCACUGGGGGUUUUCUGACGCUGAGGAACGAAAGCCAGGGGAGCGAACGGG